Molecule: long non-coding RNA, 501 nt
Filed under: Penaeus japonicus
Lineage: Eukaryota; Metazoa; Arthropoda; Malacostraca; Decapoda; Penaeidae
Description: uncharacterized LOC122264679
Source: RNAcentral
AACAUCCGCCUGCUCCCCGAACGGCCGGGCCCAAGCGUGCACCCAAAACACAUGCGGUCAACAAACACGUGGAUUCCUAUGAUAUCCUUAUAAAGCUCAGAAGAAACACCACACACCAAAAAAGACGGAAAUUAAGGACAAGAAGGCAGUAACCAAGAGGAUGACGACACUUGCUGCAAAUCCAGGGACAGGAGUAAUGAAGGCUGACAUGGCCUCUUCAGCAAAGGAGACAGGAAAAAAGAAGAGGAAGACGAGAGGGUUGGAGAAGGCAAAGAGGACUCGUAGGAGGAGAAAAAGCUGAAAGAACUGUUCACUUCAAAUGGUCCAGAUAAAGAGGUGGUCUUGGAACUUGAACUGUUGGCCUUUGGGAAGAACGGAGAUCUGUGAGUUCCCUGUAAACAACCAACUGAGGAAGUUAUCUACAAAGUUUAUACUGUAAAGAGAAAUUUGUCUAUUUGAAGGGAUGCUUUGCACCAUAGAUUGAAAAAGUGUCUUUUAAAU